AGAAUUUGCACAAUGGAAAACCACCUUGACCAUCUCAUGACUUUAUACAGGAAUCGGAGGAAAAAGAGUCAUUUUGUACUCUCUUAUCUAUAACCAUGUCUCACUUCAAGUCAAUGCUACAAUUGUCACUUUUAUUUUGAAAAGGAAGCUCAGAAGGAAAAAAACUCUUAGAGAGAUCUUCUAACAGAACAUUUUUCUUCACUGAUAGACAUCCAAGGCCAUUCCAUUUCUAAAUCACACUUAUCCCUCAAUCAAGUCAGUGACUGGAUCAUCUCCUAAGGUUUCACCUGCUUUGCAUCAGGUAGGUGAGAUGAAAGUGAUUUUAUGGGUAGCUUUCAGAAAAAUGUACUGCACUGAAGUGACAAAGUUCUGUCUUGCCUGUUCUCUCACAAAACAGCAUAUCAAUUAAAUAAUGUUUUCUUUAC
Molecule: long non-coding RNA, 425 nt
Filed under: Homo sapiens (human)
Lineage: Eukaryota; Metazoa; Chordata; Mammalia; Primates; Hominidae
Description: non-protein coding lnc-USP53-8:22
Source: RNAcentral